This 1017-nucleotide ribosomal RNA is filed under the name uncultured bacterium. Its description in RNAcentral is "bacterial SSU rRNA". It matches the Rfam family "Bacterial small subunit ribosomal RNA", at positions 355 to 1375 of the family's 1533-position model. The record is from RNAcentral.
UGAGGAAUAUUGGUCAAUGGGCGCGAGCCUGAACCAGCCAAGUAGCGUGAAGGAUGAAGGUCCUACGGAUUGUAAACUUCUUUUAUAAGGGAAUAAAGUCACCCACGUGUGGGUGUUUGUAUGUACCUUAUGAAUAAGCAUCGGCUAACUCCGUGCCAGCAGCCGCGGUAAUACGGAGGAUGCGAGCGUUAUCCGGAUUUAUUGGGUUUAAAGGGAGCGUAGAUGGAUGUUUAAGUCAGUUGUGAAAGUUUGCGGCUCAACCGUAAAAUUGCAGUUGAUACUGGAUAUCUUGAGUGCAGUUGAGGCAGGCGGAAUUCGUGGUGUAGCGGUGAAAUGCUUAGAUAUCACGAAGAACUCCGAUUGCGAAGGCAGCCUGCUAAGCUGCAACUGACAUUGAGGCUCGAAAGUGUGGGUAUCAAACAGGAUUAGAUACCCUGGUAGUCCACACGGUAAACGAUGAAUACUCGCUGUUUGCGAUAUACUGCAAGCGGCCAAGCGAAAGCGUUAAGUAUUCCACCUGGGGAGUACGCCGGCAACGGUGAAACUCAAAGGAAUUGACGGGGGCCCGCACAAGCGGAGGAACAUGUGGUUUAAUUCGAUGAUACGCGAGGAACCUUACCCGGGCUUAAAUUGCAGAUGAAUUACGGUGAAAGCCGUAAGCCGCAAGGCAUCUGUGAAGGUGCUGCAUGGUUGUCGUCAGCUCGUGCCGUGAGGUGUCGGCUUAAGUGCCAUAACGAGCGCAACCCUUGUUGUCAGUUACUAACAGGUUUUGCUGAGGACUCUGACAAGACUGCCAUCGUAAGAUGUGAGGAAGGUGGGGAUGACGUCAAAUCAGCACGGCCCUUACGUCCGGGGCUACACACGUGUUACAAUGGGGGGUACAGAGGGCCGCUACCACGCGAGUGGAUGCCAAUCCCCAAAACCUCUCUCAGUUCGGACUGGAGUCUGCAACCCGACUCCACGAAGCUGGAUUCGCUAGCAAUCGCGCAUCAGCCACGGCGCGGUGAAUACGUUCCC